RNAcentral lists this ribosomal RNA (460 nucleotides) under uncultured bacterium. Its description in RNAcentral is "partial 16S ribosomal RNA". It matches the Rfam family "Bacterial small subunit ribosomal RNA", at positions 338 to 795 of the family's 1533-position model. The record is from RNAcentral.
CCUACGGGAGGCAGCAGUGAGGAAUAUUGGUCAAUGGGCGCGAGCCUGAACCAGCCAAGUAGCGUGAAGGAUGACUGCCCUACGGGUUGUAAACUUCUUUUAUAAAGGAAUAAAGUGAGGCACGUGUGCCUUUUUGUAUGUACCUUAUGAAUAAGGAUUGGCUAACUCCGUGCCAGCAGCCGCGGUAAUUCGGAGGAGCCGAGCGUUUUCCGGAUUUUUUGGGUUUAAAGGGAGCGUAGGUGGGUUGUUAAGUCAGUUGUGAAAGUUUGCGGCUCAAACGUAAAAUUGCAAUUGAUACUGGCAGUCUUGAGUACAGUUGAGGUAGGCGGAAUUCGUGGUGUAGCGGUGAAAUGCUUAGAUAUCACGAAGAACUCCGAUUGCGAAGGCAGCUUACUAAACUGCCACUGACAUUGAUGCUCGAAAGUGUGGGUAUCAAACAGGAUUAGAUACCCCUGUAGUC